RNAcentral lists this ribosomal RNA (253 nucleotides) under uncultured bacterium. Its description in RNAcentral is "partial 16S ribosomal RNA". It matches the Rfam family "Bacterial small subunit ribosomal RNA", at positions 524 to 776 of the family's 1533-position model. The record is from RNAcentral.
GACAGAGGGGGCAAGCGUUGCUCGGAAUUACUGGGCGUAAAGGGCGCGUAGGCGGGAUGGCAAGUCGGUCGUGAAAUCCCUCGGCUCAACCGAGGAACGUCGAUCGAUACUGCUGUUCUUGAGGAUUGCAGAGGAGACUGGAAUUCCCGGUGUAGCGGUGAAAUGUGUAGAGAUCGGGAGGAACACCGGUGGCGAAGGCGGUUCUCUGGGCCUUACCUGGCGCUGAGGAGCGAAAGCGUGGGGAGCGAUCCGG